This 373-nucleotide ribosomal RNA is filed under the name uncultured bacterium. RNAcentral describes it as "bacterial SSU rRNA". It matches the Rfam family "Bacterial small subunit ribosomal RNA", at positions 525 to 896 of the family's 1533-position model. The record is from RNAcentral.
ACGGAGGGCGCAAGCGUUGUUCGGAAUCACUGGGCGUAAAGCGCGUGUAGGCGGCCGGGCAAGUCGGAUGUGAAAUCCCGAGGCUCAACCUCGGAACUGCACUCGAAACUGCUCGGCUCGAGUCCCGGAGAGGAUGGCGGAAUUCCCGGUGUAGGGGUGAAAUCCGUAGAUAUCGGGAGGAACACCAGUGGCGAAGGCGGCCAUCUGGACGGUGACUGACGCUGAGACGCGAAAGCGUGGGGAGCAAACAGGAUUAGAUACCCUGGUAGUCCACGCCGUAAACGGUGAGUGCUAGACGUCGCGGGUAUUGACCCCCGCGGUGUCGAAGCUAACGCGUUAAGCACUCCGCCUGGGGAGUACGGCCGCAAGGCUA